GACGAACGCUGGCGGCGUGCUUACCACAUGCAAGUCGAACGAAAAGGCCCUGCUUUGGUGGGUUGCUCGAGUGGCGAACGGGUGAGUAACACGUAAUUAACCUGCCCUUGACUUUGGGAUAACUUCAGGAAACUGGGGCUAAUACCGGAUAGGACCUCCUGCUGCAUGGGGGGGGUUGGAAAGUUUCGGCGGUUGGGGAUGGACUCGCGGCUUAUCAGCUUGUUGGUGGGGUAGUGGCUUACCAAGGCUUUGACGGGUAGCCGGCCUGAGAGGGUGACCGGCCACAUUGGGACUGAGAUACGGCCCAGACUCCUACGGGAGGCAGCAGUGGGGAAUAUUGCACAAUGGGCGGAAGCCUGAUGCAGCAACGCCGCGUGCGGGAUGACGGCCUUCGGGUUGUAAACCGCUUUCGCCUGUGACGAAGCGUGAGUGACGGUAAUGGGUAAAGAAGCACCGGCUAACUACGUG
Molecule: ribosomal RNA, 468 nt
Filed under: uncultured bacterium
Lineage: Bacteria
Description: partial 16S ribosomal RNA
Rfam family: Bacterial small subunit ribosomal RNA
Source: RNAcentral